AUUGAACGCUGGCGGCAGGCCUAACACAUGCAAGUCGAACGGUAACAGGAAGAAGCUUGCUUCUUUGCUGACGAGUGGCGGACGGGUGAGUAAUGUCUGGGAAACUGCCUGAUGGAGGGGGAUAACUACUGGAAACGGUAGCUAAUACCGCAUAACGUCGCAAGACCAAAGAGGGGGACCUUCGGGCCUCUUGCCAUCGGAUGUGCCCAGAUGGGAUUAGCUUGUUGGUGGGGUAACGGCUCACCAAGGCGACGACCCCUAGCUGGUCUGAGAGGAUGACCAGCCACACUGGAACUGAGACACGGUCCAGACUCCUACGGGAGGCAGCAGUGGGGAAUAUUGCACAAUGGGCGCAGGCCUGAUGCAGCCAUGCCGCGUGUAUGAAGAAGGCCUUCGGGUUGUAAAGUACUUUCAGCGGGGAGGAAGGGAGUAAAGUUAAUACCUUUGCUCAUUGACGUUACCCGCAGAAGAAGCACCGGCUAACUCCGUG
RNAcentral lists this ribosomal RNA (490 nucleotides) under uncultured bacterium. RNAcentral's name for it is "partial 16S ribosomal RNA". It matches the Rfam family "Bacterial small subunit ribosomal RNA", at positions 30 to 507 of the family's 1533-position model. The record is from RNAcentral.